This 87-nucleotide transfer RNA is filed under the name Geobacter sp. RNAcentral's name for it is "tRNA-Leu". It matches the Rfam family "tRNA". From Rfam's summary of the family: Transfer RNA (tRNA) molecules are approximately 80 nucleotides in length. Their secondary structure includes four short double-helical elements and three loops (D, anti-codon, and T loops). The record is from RNAcentral. Lineage: Bacteria; Pseudomonadati; Thermodesulfobacteriota; Desulfuromonadia; Geobacterales; Geobacteraceae. RNAcentral also lists the same sequence under 1 other name.
GCCCGGAUGGCGGAAUUGGUAGACGCAAGGGACUUAAAAUCCCUCGACCUAACAGUCGUGCCGGUUCGAUCCCGGCUCCGGGCACCA